AUUGCUUCUUGGCCUUUCGGCUAAGAUCAAGUGUAGUAUCUGUUCUUAUCAGUUUAGAGAAAGUAUACUGCAAUAUUCAUUUAACUCCAACUCAU
Molecule: small nuclear RNA, 95 nt
Filed under: Sorex araneus (European shrew)
Lineage: Eukaryota; Metazoa; Chordata; Mammalia; Eulipotyphla; Soricidae
Description: U2 spliceosomal RNA (ENSSARG00000017708.1)
Rfam family: U2 spliceosomal RNA
About the family: U2 is a small nuclear RNA (snRNA) component of the spliceosome (involved in pre-mRNA splicing). Complementary binding between U2 snRNA (in an area lying towards the 5' end but 3' to hairpin I) and the branchpoint sequence (BPS) of the intron results the bulging out of an unpaired adenosine, on the BPS, which initiates a nucleophilic attack at the intronic 5' splice site, thus starting the first of two transesterification reactions that mediate splicing.
Source: RNAcentral